CGAAUGUCAUAACGACUCUCGGCAACGGAUAUCUCGGCUCUCGCAUCGAUGAAGAACGUAGCGAAAUGCGAUACUUGGUGUGAAUUGCAGAAUCCCGUGAACCAUCGAGUCUUUGAACGCAAGUUGCGCCCGAAGCCGUCAGGCCGAGGGCACGCCUGCAUGGGCGUCACGCAU
RNAcentral lists this ribosomal RNA (174 nucleotides) under Elsholtzia feddei. Its description in RNAcentral is "5.8S ribosomal RNA". The stretch from base 14 to 169 matches the Rfam family "5.8S ribosomal RNA". From Rfam's summary of the family: 5.8S ribosomal RNA (5.8S rRNA) is a component of the large subunit of the eukaryotic ribosome. Lineage: Eukaryota; Viridiplantae; Streptophyta; Magnoliopsida; Lamiales; Lamiaceae. The record is from RNAcentral.